Molecule: ribosomal RNA, 301 nt
Filed under: uncultured bacterium
Lineage: Bacteria
Description: partial 16S ribosomal RNA
Rfam family: Bacterial small subunit ribosomal RNA
Source: RNAcentral
CAGUAGCCGCGGGAAUACGAAGGGGGCUAGUGUUGUUCGGAAUUACUGGGCGUAAAGCGCACGCAGGCGGCUCGAUAAAUUAGAAGUGAAAGCCUUGGGCUUAACCUGAGAAUUGCUUUUAAGACUGUCGAGCUAGAAUCCAGAAGAGGGUAGUGGAAUUCCGAGUGUAGAGGUGAAAUUCGUAGAUAUUCGGAAGAACACCAGUGGCGAAGGCGACUACCUGGUCUGGCAUUGACGCUCAUGUGCGAAAGCGCGGGGAGCAAACAGGAUUAGAUACCCCAGUAGUCCCUGUCUCUUAUAC